Molecule: long non-coding RNA, 788 nt
Filed under: Erythranthe guttata (spotted monkey flower)
Lineage: Eukaryota; Viridiplantae; Streptophyta; Magnoliopsida; Lamiales; Phrymaceae
Description: long non-coding RNA (EGUT_LNC001984)
Source: RNAcentral
GUUGCCCUAAUAAUUUUCUCUCUCUCCCUCCACACUCCCUCCCAUUUCCCGUCAAUGUCGCCGUCGAUUAGGUCGACGCUGCCAAUCUUCGUUGCCCAAGUUUACUCCCGUCGGCACCGCCGUCAUUGCCCAUGUUCCCUCCAGCCGUCGUCGUUACCAAAUUUCAUUCCCGCCGCCGUCGUUGCACAAGACCACGCCCCUGCAGUCGCCGGCCAUCGUCUUCUUUUUCCAGUCGCCGCCGUUGCGUUCAGCUAGAUGCCGCCCACUAUCUAUGAUGCCCAGCCCUCUCAAAAAUUGUAGGUAUAAAUUUGCCUAUUUAUGAGUUAAAUAGCAAGCAGCUAUGCAAUUCUAAUGUCUUAACUUCAGUAGCACUCUUUGUCCAUAUAUCCGACAAUUUGUAUGAUAAUGUAAGAAUUGACUAAUUUUUAAUUUAGCUUUCAUAUUUCAGGAGUUGAAAGAAUUUGUAUUAGGUUGUCUUGUCUAAAAUGAGAAUCAUAUGCGAUGAUUAUUUGGUAAAAUCCUUUUAAAUGAAUGGGUAUUUGGUAGAGUUUUAUUUGGUGCCCUUAAUGUUAGACGAUUAUUUUUCUUAACUUAUGUGUCCAUUUCUCAUUUUGCUCGCAGGUGUUUAUAUGAUGAAGAUUCAGUAAUCUUUGUAAGUGUUUCGUAUUUCUUAUAUAUGUUUGAUUAGGGUGUUUUGUAUUGGUAGGCCCAGUUAAAUUAGUUUGGAUCCUAAUUUAACAUCUUUUGGUUAUAUACUCAUCAGGGAUGUCUGCUAGAUACAAUGCCGU